UGGGGAAUAUUGGACAAUGGGCGAAAGCCUGAUCCAGCAAUGCCGCGUGAGUGAUGAAGGCCUUAGGGUUGUAAAGCUCUUUUACCCGGGAUAAUAAUGACAGUACCGGGAGAAUAAGCCCCGGCUAACUCCGUGCCAGCAGCCGCGGUAAUACGAAGGGGGCUAGCGUUGUUCGGAAUUACUGGGCGUAAAGCGCGCGCAGGCGGUCUUCCAAGUCAGUGGUGAAAGCCCGGAGCUCAACUCCGGAACUGCCAUUGAAACUGUUGGACUUGAGUACGAGAGAGGUGAGUGGAAUUCCCAGUGUAGAGGUGAAAUUCGUAGAUAUUGGGAAGAACACCGGUGGCGAAGGCGGCUCACUGGCUCGUAACUGACGCUCAGGCGCGACAGCGUGGGGAUCAAA
RNAcentral lists this ribosomal RNA (400 nucleotides) under uncultured bacterium. RNAcentral's name for it is "bacterial SSU rRNA". It matches the Rfam family "Bacterial small subunit ribosomal RNA", at positions 355 to 772 of the family's 1533-position model. The record is from RNAcentral.